AGGACGAACGCUGGCGGCGUGCUUAACACAUGCAAGUCGAGCGGAAAGGCCCUUCGGGGUACUCGAGCGGCGAACGGGUGAGUAACACGUGAGUAAUCUGCCCCUAGCUCUGGGAUAGCUCCGGGAAACCGGGAUUAAUACUGGAUACGACCACCUUAGACAUCUUUUGUGGUGGAAAGAAUUUCGGCUAGGGAUGAGCUCGCGGCCUAUCAGCUUGUUGGUGGGGUAACGGCCUACCAAGGCGACGACGGGUAGCCGGCCUGAGAGGGCGACCGGCCACACUGGGACUGAGACACGGCCCAGACUCCUACGGGAGGCCAGCAGUGGGGAAUAUUGCGCAAUGGGCGAAAGCCUGACGCAGCGACGCCGCGUGCGGGAUGAAGGCCUUCGGGUUGUAAACCGCUUUCAGCAGGGACGAAAUUGACGGUACCUGCAGAAGAAGCCCCGGCCAACUACGCGCCAGCAGCCGC
This 470-nucleotide ribosomal RNA is filed under the name uncultured bacterium. RNAcentral's name for it is "SSU rRNA". It matches the Rfam family "Bacterial small subunit ribosomal RNA", at positions 26 to 518 of the family's 1533-position model. The record is from RNAcentral.